Molecule: RNA transcript, 3950 nt
Organism: Bicyclus anynana (squinting bush brown)
Lineage: Eukaryota; Metazoa; Arthropoda; Insecta; Lepidoptera; Nymphalidae
Gene: tzn
Gene name: hydroxyacylglutathione hydrolase, mitochondrial
Exons: 2
Source: RefSeq, a predicted model, not a curated record
AUGACAGAUAUUUUAGAUUCUCAAAAUGUAUGUAUAUUGAAUGAUGGGACUCCAACUCGACGCACUCGCCCUGGUGAAGGCCCUAGUGCUCCAGACUUGUCACUUUGCUCUCCAAGUUUAGCCUCUCUGAUAUCCUGGAGUGUACUUGACCACACUUAUGGCAGUGAUCAUGCACCUAUUGUACUUACUUUACCUAUCUCUAGCCCUUAUUCUAAUCUACAAUAUAGUUCUAAACUAAAGCAUAAACUGCCAGAUAACUGGAAUACAUUUAAACAUUAUGUUGAUCAAAAGAUAUCUAGUCUUCCUAUUGUUAAUGGUGGUAAUGAAACAAUAUGUUCAAAUGAGUUUACUAAAAUUUUAAUUGAUGCUGCUAACACUUUAUUUCCAUUAAAAGGUAAUAGACAGGGUAAAAUUCCAUUUCCUCCUUGGUGGGAUCAUGAGUGCACUAUAGCCAUCAAGCAACGGAAAGAGGCUGAAAAAAAAUAUUGUUCUGUGAUGACUGCAGAGAACUUUGAAAUAUAUACCCAAAUAGCUCGUUCAACUAGCAAGCUUCUCAAAAAGAAGAAAUUUGAGGGUUGGAGACGAUUUUGCGAAUCCAUAAGUCCAGAUAUUUGCCCAUCGUUAGUUUGGAGAAAUAUUAGAAGAUUUAAGUCGGCUUUCUAUUCAUCUUCAUCAGGUACCUUACCAAUUGAGCUAGCCGAUCAAUUUAUAGACAAGUUGGCUCCUCCAUAUGUUCCAAACUUUAAUAAUGCCCAGUGCUGUAUUCCUUACUCUGUACCAUGUAGUCAUACAGACCUUAAUGCCCCCUUUAGUUUAUCCGAACUGAAAGGGGUGUUGUCUUAUGUAAAAGACUCAUCUCCAGGCGAAGACGGUAUUACAUACUCAUUCUUGAUUAACUGCAAUGACGCUUCUUUGAACUAUUAUUUGUGUGUUAUUAAUGCUAUUAUGUUGUCUGGUAACAUUCCUUCUUCUUGGAAAACACAAAUCAUAGUUCCCAUAUUAAAACCUAAUAAACCAGCCUCUGAUGUUUCUUCUUUUCGUCCAAUUGCCCUCUCUUCUGUUCUUGCCAAAUUAGUUGAGCAUCUUGUUAAAAAUAGGUUAGAAUUUUUCGUUGAACAUAAUAAUAUUUUGACAGCCAAUCAGCUGGGAUUUAGAAAAGGUCGUAGCACCACAGACAAUAUUAGUAUACUUGUUUCGGAUAUUAGGUUAGGAUUCUCGAAGAAUGAGGCAGUUCUUGCGGCCUUUCUUGACAUUAGCUCAGCGUACGAUAAUGUGUUGAUCUCCGUCUUACACAAUAAAUUACAUGACCUCCAUGUUCCCCAAAUAUUAAUCAAAUUUAUCAUCAAUAUGCUUUCUGAGAGAUGUAUUAAAUUAGACCUACACAAUGGUACUCAACUUUCAAGGCUGGUAUGGAGAGGCCUACCGCAGGGGUCGGUCCUUAGUCCAUUGCUGUAUAAUGUAUAUACUUGUGACUUAGAGAUAUUUUUAAACACAAACGUAAACGUCUUGCAAUACGCAGAUGAUCUCCUACUAUAUAUCUCGGACAAGUGUAUACAAAAUGCAAGUAAAUAUUUAUCGUCUUCCCUUUUUAAAUUAAAUAAAUGGUUAAAUCUCAAUGGUCUGGAAUUAUCGGUUACUAAAAGUACUGUGGUUUUAUUUUCUAGAAAGAGAAUCAUUCCUGAGUUUAACGUACUUUAUAUGGAUAAUCCUAUCCCUGUAAAAUCUGAGGUAAAAUUCUUGGGAGUUAUUUUAGACUCCAAACUUACCGGAGUACCUCACUGUAACUAUAUUGUAACUAAAUGUGAAAGAAACCUAAAUAUGAUCAGGUGUCUAACUGGUGUCUGGUGGGGUGCUCAUCCUGCAUCCUUACGUCUUAUUUAUAAUGCCUUAAUUCGUAGCUUGCUAGAUUACGCCACUUUUGUUCUACAGCCAUGUAGUGCCGUAGCUCUUAAUAAAUUAGAUUGCGUACAAGCCAAAGCUUUAAGGAUCAUCCUUGGAGCUAUGAAAUCUAGCCCUAUCAAUGCUAUGCAAAUAGAGUGUGUUGAACCACCUUUAUGUUUAAGACGACAAUUUCUAUCUGAUAGGUAUAUAUUUAAAGCUAUGCAAUUUUCAUAUCAUCCUUUACGUAAUAAACUCCAACUCCUUCUGGAAUUUACAGACACUUGUUCGUAUUGGUCCCAUAAAUCUCCCCCGUGUCUUAUCAAAAGCUAUCGAAUAUUUUGCUCCAUACAAGCGCCAAUGUAUAGUACAUAUUGUUACCCUACUUUCGGUAUUAAAUAUAAUGCAUUAAUAACCUCUCCGGAUGUUAGAAUCAAUCCAGAUAUUCCAAGAAAUCAAUUUGAAGCUCCUCUGUUUGUAAACAUAUUAAAAGAAAAUGAAUUUAAUGAUUAUCAUUAUAUAUAUAGUGAUGCUUCUAAGCAUGCAUCAGAUGGUAUAGUAGGAGUUGGAGUUUUUCAUUCUCAAUAUAAUAUUGUUCAGAAAAUAAAACUUCCACCUGAAUCAUCUGUAUUUACUGGAGAAUGCCUUGGUUUGUUUAAAUCUGUUGAAUAUAUUCUUCUUGCUAAACUUAAGAAAUCCAUUAUAUUUACGGACUCUAUGAGUGCUCUGCAAGCUCUAUCUAGAUGUCCUUUUAAGUCUGCUCAAAUUCAUCAUAUUAUUUUAAAAAUUAGAACACUUCUACUUACAUGUAAUGAAAAAGGCUAUUCAGUGGUGUUUUCCUGGGUACCAGGUCACUCAGGCAUUCCUGGAAAUGAACGUGCUGAUCAGCUUGCCAAUGAGGCUAUUUCAUGCGGAGAUAUGGCAGACUAUUGUAACUACGCCUAUGAUUUGUGUACACUGACAAAACGUUCCCUUCAGGAGUCCUGGAAAGUGGCUUGGUCAAUUUCCAGCCAAUCGAGGGGCAAAGCCUUUGCUAGGAUACAAAACUUUAUACCGACAAAGCCAUGGUUCUCAAGUAUAAAAUUGAGCAGGAGGGUAACGUGUAUCUUGACGCGUAUGCGUUUGGGCCACGUUUGCUCUCCUGUUCAACUUGCGAAAUUUGGAAUUGUGAGCAGUGAUUUGUGCGAGUGUGGUGAAGUGGGUGACCUUAAUCACAUAUUUUUAUCAUGUCCAAAAUUUAAUCGAGAAUCAUUUUACAAGGACCUUAUUCUUUUCCACAUCCCACUUCCUACUUCCGUUGACAUCCUCUUGUCCUAUGAUAAACCUUGUAUAUAUAAACUUUUUUCCUCUUUUAUCCUAAGUAAUGAUAUUAAGUUGUAAAUACUUUUAGAUGUACAAUUUUUUAUGUAAAUAUAUGUUUUAUUGUAUUGAAAAUAAUUGAUUAGUAUUUAAUUGUAAAUAUUCGGUAUAAGUAUUCUAUUUUAUAUUAUUUCCUAUCCUUUUCUGAUCCUUUCUAAAAUUCCCGUACCUUCAAAAUUUUGAGUUUUAUAAUUAAACAAGUUUCCUCGUUUUAAAUAACAAAAAAAAAAAAAAAAAAAAAGCACUUGAUACUGGCUCAAUCGCUCGACGCGCGGAGCCAUAGAACCAAGAAGAAGAAGAAGACCUUCCAUUUUCAUUUUCCACUUCAAGUUCCAUUCCAGCCAGUUUUCAAUUUCCAUGGUCCCAUCCCGACUCCCCAUUUCUUUUGAACUUUUUACUUUGCUUUUGAAGUUGAGUAUUUUUUGAAGUGCGUAUUUUUCGCGGUUUCAACUUAAUAUGUGAAGUUGUUUUAUGGUGAAAGAAAUCAGAAAUAGUUCUACUUUUUCAAUAAAUACCUGUUUUAUUCUUUAUUUUAUUAUUUAUUUUAUCCGGUUGUUCAAUGCAGGCGGCAAUCGCCAAGUUUGUGAACUCAUUGCCUUUGAGUUGCUCGCAGUGCAUAACAAAAUUCUAUUUUCGAUGCGCCGGCGCCGGGUCCAUUGGGUGUCAAAAAGAAAUACUCCGAGCAAAGCGAUGAAGAAUGUGAUCAAGUAGGG